AGCUGAGGAGAGAGCAGACAGCACAGAGUUAGUCCUCAGGCCAUCCACUCAUUGGGAUGUCCCUAUGUGAGGCCUUCUAAGUGCAUGUUCCUUUGUUACGGUCUCUCAGGCUGUCAAAGGACAAUGAUCCUACUAAGUCAAUGAUCCUACUAAGUACCCAAGGCAUGGAUCCCAUACUAAGCCUAUCCUGCAAGUGUGGCCAGUGUUUAAUAUGUUUUUUGGUCAUUUUUUUUUUUGGUAAAUGGCCCAAAGAAAGAAAUUAAUCUUGCUGGCCCAGUGUUUCCCAUCAGUGAGAUGGGGUAAUGCCUACCUACCCUAUGUAUGGUUUGUAGAGUUGAGAGGAUUGUAGCCAUACAAAUCUGACUGGGCCUGAUAUAUAGAUGCUCAAUGAACCAGAAUGAGCCAGUGAGCUGCUGAUCACCAGAGCUCAGAAGACCUUGACUCUCCACUUUAUUCAGGGUGGACAGUCAAGGUGGCCAUCACCUCUCUUUCCCAGUGAGCAAAGAGCUAGCUGAUUCCCAGGGACCAGAUCUAGAUAAACCUAAAAUCGAAUGUCGAAGGUACAAGACAAGCUUUUAGGAACCUUGAAUAUUAAAGCAGACCCCAGGAAGACUGGUCAGCGAUAGGCCUGGGCAUCAGGGGAAGAAGUGGACCUCCUACCCUACCCCCAACCCUCUAGAGAACAGACAUAGUCUUCAUGGGUAGAGAACCCAGGAAAACAGAUGAAAGGUACAGCAAGAUUCAAGGUCACAAGCCUUAAGGCCAUGAGGCCAGGCCAAGGCAGCUGCAGGCAGGCAAAUACCAAAGGGCCUGAGUCCCUAGGUCCUUCUCCCACAGGGCCAGAGUGGAAAUAUGGCUGAGAUCUGGCAAGAACGGUGGUCAGUGCUUUGGUUCAGCUAGCACCACGACCAAGCCUAGCAAUGGCUCUGCUCAAAAUGAUUUGACUCUUCUCUAUAAGAUGGCCUGACAGGGUUGAAUCAGUGACAUGCAUGAGGUGUGUGGGCCACCAAAACUGGGUGAGCUGAGGCAACCUAUGGCUGGAUGUGGGGUACACAAAGCAAAAGAAUCUUUGAUCUGUGACAUUAGUCAUAGGCCAUUGGGUUUUUUGUUUUUUUGCUUGUCUGUUUUUAAUUGUAAGUUGCUUGAAAAAAGAAAAGCCCUCCCAAAUGGUCUCUAUUGAGCCCCAGAAAAUGGUCUUCCUUUUCUUCAGCAGAGUUGGAGGAGUCCUGAAAAUUCAACACUGGUCCUUGUAGCCGACCCAUGGCAAUGAGUGAUGCCCAGCAUGCUCUCCGCUGGCCUACACCCAUCCUUCCCUCUGAGCCCAAUAGUCCCAGCAUGCCUUGCAGGUCUGCAUCAGCUUCUAGAUACUGUGGCCCUCCCCAGGAACACCAUCUCCUGGGAGGACAAUGGAAGUUCCCUGAUGACAGGGAAGCCACAGUCAUGGUGUAACUCAGUCUGAAUGCUCACCCAGUAUUCCAGCACCUCGAGAGGGAUCAUCAGGGACCAGACCCAGGAUGACUGUGCUGAAUGUGGUGGGGACUGUCUCACCACAGGUGAAAGGUCGGGGGCUCACGCAGUAAGUACUUAGCAAAAAUAAGCGGACCAUGAGAUGAUGAUGACAAUGGUGUUGAUGAUGAUGAUGGAGGAAGAGGAGGAGGAGCAGGAGGAGCAGCAGGAGACCAUGCCAAGAACAUGAGAGUAUACAGGGGAACUGGUUUGUAGCAAGCACAUAAGGAGGGGAGGGUUCCCCACUCACUUCUGCCUCCGGCCUACCCGCUAUGUUACUCUCUGAACACAAAAUUCCUCUUCCUCUAUUUUGAGGCUCUAUUUUUUUUUUAAAUUGUUGUUGGUUUGGUUUGGUUUUGUUCCUCGAGACAGGGUUUCUCUGUGUAACAGCCCUGGCUGUCCUGGAACUCACUCUGUAAACCAGGCUGGCCUCGAACUCAGAGAUCCACCUGCCUCAGCCUCCUGAGUGCUGAGAUUAAAGGAAUGCAAUACAACCAUCCAGCUGUUUGCACUAAACCCCAUCUCUGGAUCUCAGGGGGAAAGGGUUCUAGCUCACAGCUGAUCUUCUAACCUACAGCCAGUCCCUAGCCCCAGGCUUGCCUCUCAGGGAGGUCAGUUUUUGUUUCUUCUCCUGAACAUCUCUACUUCAGACUCUUCUCACGGAGGGAAACCUACCUACAGAAAUAGAGGAUGUGGCCCAGAAGUCAAGUUUCCAAAAGAGGAACUGAGUCUAAGUCACCCUGUGAGUCCCAGGAGAAGGGCAACCUUGGCAGAGGCACCCUUGAACCCUGAGGCCCUCGGGGAUGAGACUAUGUUUGCUCUGAAGGCUGGUGCCUCAUGCUGUGUGGACCCACAACUGCCCCCAUCAGCCUGUGGGGUCCAGCAUGUGUAUCUUCUCCCAGGUCUUUUUUUCUAGUCUAGGGAAUAUUGCUCCAAGGUACAGGGAGAGAUUGAUUGAUAAAAAGCACUUUACAAAGCAAAAGAACCAUAAAAGCUGGGACACUGGUGUUUGGGUUAUCCAAGUGUGGACCAGAGCUAAUGUAAACUAAAGGCUAAGAGAGGAAGUGACCCGGAGUCCACAGUAAACAGAAGGCCCAGGCGCCCGUUGGAACUUUCUUUUCCAUAAAGGGAGACAGGAGCCAGAGGCCCCCAGGCCCUUGUGUCAACCAGUCAGCUUUAGGCUUCCCUUCCCAUCCAAGCAGAGUCUUCCCCCCUUCCCUGGGGCCUCGGGGCAGGCAUGGAGACACCAGGAGACUGGAGCAGCUGCCUCUGCCCUGCUUCUGUGGGUGAGUCAUUUGGGGUGUGACUCUUACAGCAGCUCAGCAAUUCUCAGCGUCUUUGGCACCAUUCUGGCCGGCGACUUGGCAUGGAGAGAUGUUCCAGAAACUUCCUUGGAUAGGGGAAAGACUCAUCUAUAGGGGACUAGACCGUUGGAUGACUCCGCUGAGUUAGAGCCUCCUCUCUACCUGGAUUCCUACUUAGGGCUUGUGAGAUGGACAGUGGCUGUAUCGGGGCUCCUGAAGCAACACAGACCAUUUUCUUCAGACACCCUUGACCACUUCCUCUCUGGUCGGCAGGAAAAUGUUUAGGCGUUUGGGAGUAAGAGCCGUGUUUUCAGGGCAGGGAUAUGAGUGGGGAUGUGGGAGGUGGUGAGAGGUAAAGGGAAGGAGAAAGGUCUCAACGAGGAGACCUAGGGCCAAUGGGUGGAGGCCCCUCAAGCUGGGAUUCAACAGCAGUCAUGUUUUCCCACACAGACUGAGAGGCCCUAAGGUAACAGGUCCUCUGAUAUUGAAAGGACACAAGUAUGUCUGGAUGCUCUCCUGACUAGACAUGCCCUGAGCUAGUAAAAGUCCCUUUCCCACUGACCCCAUGCCCCAACUCUGCACUCAGUUUUCUAGCACCAGGAGACAGAGAGGAACCUACUGAGAUUCAACUGAAGAGGUUUCUGGUUCUUAAUACACAGGCUUCUAGUCUCUUAUGUCCGUGCCCCAUGAUUUCCCAAUCUUGGCUGCCUGCUCACCUCCCCCCUCAGAACUUAGCCGGGCCCUCUGUCCCCCUUAGAGCUGACAGUAUGAGCUCAUCUGAACAGCCCAGGGAAGCCCAAAGGAACUGAAUGGGAAAUUCUGACUCACGGGGGCCACUGCCAGAAUGCUGCUCUUGGGAAAAGGGCUGCGAGAGAGCUGUGUACCCUACAGCUGGAGGCUUGGGGGUUUCUGUAAGGGCGGGGGGAUGAGAGGGAUUUCACAGGGUUGAUUUUGUGGGUACUAGUAUGUAGGCUCUGCUGGGCACUCAGCUCUCCUUUUGCAGUGAUAGAAGGGACCAGAGGACACCUGGCUGGCAGAGGCUGAUGAGCCCAGGUGUUGGGGGGGUCCUUGCAUCCUAGAGGGAUGGGACUGGAAAGCAGGAGGAGUUUUAGUAAGCGAAGCCCUCUUGAAAGAGGAGGAGAGUGCAGCCUACAGCAAGAACAGGUACCACAGAUCACAGGCCGGCUUCCCACCUAUACCCAGCCUGUCACGGGUGAAACCCUGUGCUCAAGCAUAAGCAGAGGAAAGACUGAGCAGGGUUUCCGCUAUGGUGCUGCUGGGUUUCUCUUUCCUCACAGCGCUGGCAAUAUGGGGCUCCAAACGCCUGUGUUCAGAGGCCAAGGCUGUCUGGUCAACUUGGGGUGCCCAUGUGGAGGUGUGGGGAGACACUGAGGCCUUGCCCUCCAGACCCAGGGAGAGCGUGUCACCAAGGUUAGCUCGAGCUUACCUGUGAGUCACCUGGGAGCCUCGAAGGCUGGACAUGGUUUCUUCCAGGUUCUGUCGAAGAUCCAGAACAUUCUGUACUGUCCUCUUUCUCUGCGACUCUGGAUCUGGCAAGGAGAGCAGAAAAAGGUGGUGAAUGAAGAGAACUUCUGGAAGGGACCUGGGAGCCAGGAAAGGGAAGACUGACCAUAUCUCCCAGAAGCUAGACUCUAGGGCUAACCUGCUUCCUCAAAGGUGACCAACGGAGCAGGUACAGCUAAUGAUCUUCAUGUGUGCCCUGGGCUGGCUGAAGCCCCAACCCCAACAAGAGCUGCAGACAGGGCCCUUCAGAGCCUCUCUCUGAGUGACCACUGUUAUCUCUCAGGCUUUGGUUUGGGGAGGUUCUUCUCACAGCAAAGACAGAAGUUCCUGGCAAGUUUUCCUGUGGUGGAGUGAAAUGGGCCCCCUCCUCAAAAUAACCUCCUUUGGAGCAGUGUGUUGGUGUGUACUUGCUUGGGGGCUCCUGGAGGAGGGGACACUCUGAUGGGCAGAGCUUGCCGAUUUCCACCGUGUAACUAUCCCUACUCGGCCAGUUUCAAUCCAUCAACCUAUCAUGGGCCACAGUUCGGAAGGAUUGGGAACGUGUGGAAUUGCUCUGAGGGGUCUAAGAGGCGGUUCUGACAGUGUCCUAAAGGUGAGGUGGCUGGUGGGAGACGGAGAUGAGCAGCCAUUUUCUGGGGCACUUCGGACCCUAUUCAAAGACUCCUGACCUCGGAAGAAGCACGGGUGUAGCCAGAGUCUGAACCAGUCAGCACCACUUUGCUCAGCCUUGGUUUCUGGAUGAUGUUAGCCUAGACAGAUGAGAGCCUCUAACCGGAAACGAAACUUCACACUUUCUCCCAUCCAGGGAUGGAAAUAGCAUCCAAAAUGAUGCAACGACUCAGAGGACCUUCUUCUCCCUUCUAUUGACCAACCCAAGAAAUCUUUAUCAAACACCCACUCUGGGUUGGGCAUGGUGGUGCAUGCACACCUUUAACCCUGGCACUCAGAAGGCAGAGGCUGGUGAAUCUCUGUGAGUUUGAGGUCAGCCUGGUUUACAUAGCAAGUUCUAGGCCCGCUGAGGCUACAUAGUGAGGCCCUGUUUCAAAAGAGAAAAGAAAAAAGUGGAAAGAAAGAAAACAGAAAAACAACAAAACCUCUAAAAGAAAAAAACCCAAAAUGAAACAAAACAAAACAACCCUCCCCCCAAAAAAUAUCCAAAAAAAAAACAAAAAUCCCCAAAGAUUCCAACUCAACUUGGUACCAGGCACUGGGCUAGGCUCUGAGAACACGAACGAAGAGGCUUGGACCGUGUCCCCUGAGUAACCUUGUACAUAGGGAUCCAAGUCACUGUCACUGAGGAACCAGUCUUCCCAAUCCUUAAAACUGCUUCAGUGGUUAGUGACAGAGGUAACAGUGGGGCCAUCCCUCUCCUCCUGCCCUCAACACUUCCAGCCUUCUAGACAAGCCAAACUUACCCCUAUUCCCAGGCCCAGCCUCUCUCCACCCACAGACUCAGCAGGAGAGCGAGCUCCUUUUCGCUGCCAAAGAGAGCAUUUCUGAAUCCCCUAAGAGGUAUGUUUUUUUUCUCAAGACUGAGCUCAAGCUGGCUGACUGACUGUCACUGGCUGACUGUCACUGGCUGGCUGUCACUGGCUGGCUGUCACUGGCUGGCUGUCACUGGCUGGCUGGCCAAGUGAGGCUGGGUGGGGUGGAAGGGCCAUGCUGUGUGGCUCUUCCCAGUGUCUCUGGGACACCUUCUUCUAGGACCAGCUCCAAUCUUGGACCCAGCCAUCUUGUUUCCCUCCCCUGGGGUCUUGACCCUAUCCUCCAGUUUCUCAAGCCAGUCCCGUGUACUCAGGCCUCCAUGUUGGUGUCAAGGAACAAGGAAAAAUGGCAGGCCUCCAUGCCAGUGGUCUGAGCUCUGCCCACAGCCCUGGCGUCAUCUCUCUGGCUGCCAAUGCCUGUUUAUUCUGGCAAGUGUCACCCUGCGAGCUGCGAGCUGCCUUUAAGUGAUGGCUUGGCAGGGGACACAGUCAGGGUCAGACAGCGCACACCUAUAUAUUUUAAGGUUUAAUGUGCAAGACCCUGUGUGGGAUUAAGAGCAUAGCAUGGGUUCACAGAAGGGUGAUGCCUUCUACGACUUGGACGGAAGUGAGUCAAAGGUGCGUGUAUCUCUAAAGGGUGUUUCCAAAGAGGAAAAGUGAUGGAGCGUUAGUCAGAGGCUUCUGGGUAUGCCCAGUGCUCUGCACACAUCAUCCAGUCCAACCCCAAUGGGAGAUUUGUGCUAUCAGUCCAUUUUACAGAUGAGAACACUGACACUUUGAGAUCAAAUGAAUCAAUCAAGCUACUCACAGCUAGCAUAAAAUAAAGGGUAAAACCAGAAUCUGAAAGAAACUCAACCUCUUUUAUUUAUUUAUUUAUUUAGAUUAUGAUGUGGACCUCAGACUCGCAAUGUUGAAGUCAUCAUGCAUGAAACUCAACCUCUUUUGAUGUAACACAGGGCACUCCUGCAGUGUCAUGCGCAGUGACUGCAUACAGUAAGUGCUUAAUGAUAUCCCAAGAUUUAAUGAGAGCUACCACCAUUUAAAAGUUUUUGUGUAUGUGUGCGUUAUGGGUAUGUUUGUGUGUGUAUGCAUGUACGUAUGUGUGCAUAUGUGUAUAUAUAUGUGUAUAUGUACACAUGUGUGUUGUAUGUGCAUGUGGUGUUGGAUAAAGAUGUCCCCUUCUCAUUAAGGAAAAAUGAUUAAGCUAUAGAGUUGGUCAGCUUCAUUCCUAAUUCUCUACUUUUACCAAGCUUCAGGGCGCCGCAGGGAAUGAUGGGAACUAGAACCCAGAAUCUUGGUAGUGACAGAGAACACUAUAUCAACUCCCGACACCUUCACUAUAUCAAAUCACGGCACCUUCUCGCCCCAGCCUCCUCAAAGACCUCUACUGCAAGCCCUACAUUCUUCCACAUCAACAGAGUAGGUCACACACACCCCUCCUCCCCCCACCCACCAAGGACUCGACUCUUCAAAACCAGAGGUACCAAGGUCCUGGAAAUGGCUUGGCCCAGUCCUGUGUGUCACAGGGUUGGUGGGAGGUCAAGGCGCAGGGGCACAACCAUCUGGGAAUGUCAGAGAGGUUAAGAGUUAUCUGCAGGCACCAGGGUAGAUUUAGAGAUGGCAAGAAGGCUGUAUUUGAUGGGAAUGACAGAUCUGUUCAGUGCCCUGGUUGGGACAGUCCUGAAGAGGCUACACCCUAAAGCUCCCUGGGUGCCUCAGCAGUGUCGCCUACUGGCCAUCUAGGGUAUGACACCUUACAUUUCCACAGCUGAGUCUGCUCUGUGUGUAUGUGUGUGUGUGUGUGUGUGUGUGUGUGUGUGUGUGUGUGUGUGUGUGUAGUAUGUAGUGUAUGUGGUAGUGUAUGUGUGGGGGGGAUGAUAUUCAUACUUCUGAUCCCCAAGUCAUUUUAUGUAUAUUAAGUUAUAUUUGCAAAAGAACUCAACCCACCCCUUACCCUCACCCACUCCAGAUCUGUAGCCUGCUCUACCCCAGCACCCGGCCUAGUUUUACUAAGCUUUUUCUUACCGUGUGCAGUGAGAAUGAAGAUCUGGGAAGGGGUGGAGGGAUUUGAAAUACUAGUUGAUUUGUGAUGACGUUAACAUAAACUAAAAUUAAUGCUACUGGUUAAGUCCCCAUGUCUUGGAGGCUGCCUCCCUGUGUCUUGGUCAACCCUAUGGUCUCAGCCUGGGUAGGCCUGGGGAGGGGGUGAGGUACGUCAAAAAUGGAGGAGUCUGGGGUUGGGGAUUUAGCUCAGCGGUAGAGCGUUUGCCUAGCGAGCGCAAGGCCCUGGGUUCGGUCCCCAGCUCCGGAAAAAAAAAAAAAAAAUGGAGGAGUCUACUGUUGCUCAGGAAGUUUCCAACUUAUGUGACACCUUAGUGCACGUUAGAGCUAAGUUUUUGCAGAACGCAUCUUAGAUCUAAAGGAUGAAGUAUGUGUGUGAGUGCAUGCAUGUGUGUGUGUCACAUGUGUAUCAUGUGUGUCAUAUAUGUAUCAUGUGUGUAUCGUGUGUAUGUCAUAUGUAUCAUGUGUGUAUCAUGUAUGUGUGUAUCGUGUGUGUAUCAUAUGAGUGUAUCAUGUGUGUAUUACAUGUGUGUAUCAUGUGUGUGUCAUAUGUAUGUAUCGUGUGUGUAUCAUGUAUGUGUGUAUCAUGUGUGUAUCAUGUGUGUCACAUGUGUGUAUCAUGUGUGUGAAUUGUAUGUAUGUAUCAUGUGUGUAUAUUAUGUGUGUCUAUAUACAAAGAGCAUACUGUCUGUGGAGUCUUACUACAGAACCAUAAUCAAAUAUACUCGACACACUGGUGCAUGCACACAGUAAUGCCAGCGACCAUGUGUUUGCCCCAUGUGAGGCAUGACGCUAAGCACAUGACUCUGUGGUAUUUCACUUGAUUCAUCAUAUUUGUCUGGAUUCCAACCCUCCUGUUCUUUCUAUCAUGAUACCCUGCCUCAGAAUAUGCUCCCCUCACCAAGGUGUGCCGAUACAGUGUUCCGCAAUACACACACAAGGCGAUUUGGGUGGCUCUGCCUCUCACUGUGAGACAGGAAGGUGGCUAAGAAAUUCAUGAAGAAAAGAGGCAAUUUGUGCCUGAGAAGGGAAGGCCCAGGGUACACUGGGAGGAUGACACGAGCAGAUUCCUUCUACCUGCCUUGCAUCAGACAAGGGGAACAGGCCUCCCAAGAACGCCAAGACCGAGGGUUUGCCGCUAAGCUAAAAACUUGGACACUGGGAAGAAACUGACUUUCAAUUUGGUGACAAGAACAUAGUUCUUAGGCCGGCAGCUGUGGCUCAGGACGUUAAUCUUAGUACUUGAGAGGUAGAGGCCAGCGGAACUCUGAGUUUGAGGUCAGUCUCAUCUACAGAGUGAGUUCUAGGACAGCCAUGUCUAUAUAGAGAAAUCCUGUCUCAAGCAAACAAACAACGAAAACAAAAAAGAACACAGUUUUUUGUGUCAAGAAGAAAACCCACCAUCCAGGUCCUCCACUGCCCCUUCGCAGCUGGGCUGACCCUGACCAGGUUACUUCAUCUUGCUGUAGUUUUCCUUUCUGUUAAAUGGAGAGGGAUGAUGACCUCACUGCAGUGAGGCUUAUGGGCCUAGCUCACUAACACACUUAGCCUAGCCGGUCAUACAGCACACUGCCUGGAAACACAGCUGGAAUCUGGCAGAGGUGGGCAGAGGUGGGGCUCGAGCUCCCCACACUCUGCCACUCCCAAACAGGUAGGACCACGCUCUUGCUUGCCGAGGCCCUCACACCUGGACUUGGGACAAGUGCGAUACACUUAGCAAACCUUGCUUCUGCACCACGAAGCCUGACUAGCAGCUUUCCUCAAGGGCUAGUCUUGCCUGUGGGACUCACUUUGCUACACGGAUUUCCUCGGACCAGAAGGCUGAGCCGUGAGAUGGUCAUGGACAGGGAGCCUCCAGCUCCAGGGUAAAAGCCCCAACAGAUUCAGGCCAAGCUCCAGAAGGAGGAGGCGCAGGGGGAUCCAUCACCCAGUAGUCAGAUUCCCCCACGUUCUGUGAGGUUUUAAUUAUUAGCCAGCAAUUAAGUAAACUGCAAUAACUUUUGACUACUGAAGCCUUAAUUACCUUCACAAAUGCUUCAGAACCCACAAGCCAUGUAGCUCAGGGGAGGGCAACUAAGAACUAACCAGGUCUGCACCUUACCUCUAGACUGGCUUUCUCUGUGAAUGGUGGGGUGAGGUACAAGCCCCCAGGAGGGACAGAAGUGAGCCAAGAGGGAGCUGGAAAGCAUUUGCCACCCUCUCACAUUAAAGACAGGAAGUAACCUCUCCUCUAAGUCCACACAGGGGACUCAGGGCUGCUGUGAGUUUCCGUGCAUGGGUUCUUUUUCUCACUGUCCAGUACUGUGGCCUGAGACAGAGGCUCAGAUGUCUGCAGAAGAGGUAAGUCACAGCCAGAAUUAUCCACAGGGGAUGGUCUGGGCCUAGAUCCAUGUAGAAAUCCUGGCCAGCCUAAACGACCUGGAAACAGGAAGGACCGGGCCUCUCUGUGUCUGUUCCUCUCUCACACAUCUCAACAACUCCUGGGAGGAAGAAAAUUCCCCAGCCCUAUUUGAUCCCCAGUAUGGGGGUCUGAUCUUUAAAUUCUGGAAAUCUGUCACAAUUUCAGCUUCUAAAAAGAUUCCAGCCCUAGCCAGCAAGUCACUUUCUCCCAGUAUUUACUGCAACAAUCGUAAGACGCUGGAGAAUUUCACACACCGCGGCCAGGAUCCGUUAGGCAGUAAGUACUCUUGUGUUUCAGUGGGCCAAAUGUCUCUGAGAACUGCAAUCUUUUUGCCCUUCUGCUCCACUCGAGGACAUAAAUCUCCCAGCUCAAGCAAGAGCAGGCCAUCACAAGGUUCUCCUGGUCUAAGGGCACAUCCCAGGGUGCCCCCAGGGGCUCAGGGUUAAGCUAGGCAAUUCUGUGGAAUCUGCACCAGUCACUUUGUACUGGAACCAUUCCCACCCCUGCAAAGACUGACUCAGGCGCCAUAGCAGGGAAAGCUAAAAUGUGACAAGUGACUGCUACACAGAUCUCCCCUGCCCGAGGUUAGAGCACAGCAGCUUGUCUGAGGGGCAACUCCACCCUCUUUCUUCACCCCUUCCCCAAUCAUCUGCUGGCCCCAGAGGUCCUAGAAGGAGACAGGGUGGGCGGGCCUCCAUGGCAGAGACACUCCACUGUCAUGGGGCAGGCAGGCAGGAAACUAUUUAUUCUGUUACUAAUCCCAUCAAUUCCUCUCAUCCCCCCACUUAAGUCACAAUAUUGUCAGAGGCGGCUAACACAGAACCCUGCAGUGCGGCAAAUCCUGCGCUGGUAGCUGUUCUGUGCACAACUGCUCCCCAAAGGAGUCCCCGGGGAUUUUCUCUUUACCCUGGAGAACUGAACCCACUCAGUCAAUGAGUGGGCUGACUGGAGCCCUCCCGAUGGCUGCUCCAUCAUGAGGCCCCAGACAGAGCUGGGACUUCAAAAGAGAAAAGCAAACGCAUCGGCCAUAUGGGGGCAUUAGACAAAAACUACAACUACAAAGAAACCUGGGGCUAAACAAGAGAAGUACGCGGAGGCCUGGAAUCCACCAGGCAGGAGUCGCCCCGCUUCAUGUGCAGUUUUGAUUUUCAUUGAGGUAAAAGCCCCAAGCGAACACAUCUCAACCAGCUGUGGAACUUGGGGAAAUGACUUCUCCCUGGGCCUCAGUUUUCCUGGUCUGUAAGUAAGGGAGCAGUGUAGUUGACUAAGCGCUGCUAGUGUGGUCCUGUGACUUUGUGCUAGACUGAAGUCUGUAUAAAUGCUUGCUUUUAAGCAUAGAUUCCAGGGUGUCGUUCCCAGAGUUUUUUUGGUUCACGCGCCUAGAGGUGGCUCCCGGGAAUCUGCGAGCUGCCAGCUCCUAAAUGAGGUGAUGUGAUCAGAGGGUCCUACUUUGCAUUUGUGUGAACGUUGCAAGAACGGGAGACCCGACAAAGCACCAGGGCUCAACAUCCCCACCCAAAGUGAUGGAGAAAUAUCGCUGGCACAAGUCGGAGCUCUGCUCUUCUGCGUUAAGACAGCCACCAAAAUCUUGCCAGGUCUCUGGGGCUUGUUGCAGAGAACAACCACACGGGGGCGCUAGGGGUCCUCAGCCGCUUUCAGCCUUGCUUCGGGGUGAUGCCGCAAUGCUGUAGGAUGGGCAGCUGUCUAGCUCUCGGGUUUGGGAGAAGUCGCCCAAAGGUCUCUUUCCCUCUAAAUUCUUUGCAGGCUCUGCACUCCUGGAGCAGACAUCCUUUUACCUCCCAGUCUCUGACCCUGGCUAAGUUAGCACGCUUGGGGAAGAGCCCAGUGUUUGCAGCAUCGAUUUUGUGGCGCCAUCUACCCAGUUUAAGAGCAGGGCCUGGCUUACCGGGAUUUUUCAACCACUUAAGGUAGAAGUGGGCUCUGGAGACCCACAGAUUCCCCUGGCAAGCUCAUAUUCAGAGCCAAAGUUUGAGAGCGAAUCCAGUUUGCGUUUCAACACAAGCGCCCGCCCUGAGAAGUGUGCGGGGUCUAAGUCUGUUCUCUGGAGGUUUCAUUUCUGCUCUUUUGCAGUGUGCUUGGGGCAGGUGGCUUUCUGGGAGAGGUAGGAGGACAGACUCCUUCCAUUAUGCCCCAUGGAGGUCCUUUUGGGAAGAGAGGAGGUCUCUUCAGCGAGCUGAAGGCAGGAAGGGAACCCACAAGGCUGGCUGCAAUGGCAGCACAACUCAGCUUCACACAGCCUUGCGUACAAAGCAGCCUUUGGCAAAGAACUUGGGGAAUGAGCUUACAGAUCCAGGGGACAGCUACUUCUCAAUGAUUUGCACUUGGGGAAGGCUUUGCUAGAUUAAGGACAAUUAGUACUGAGGGCCAAGAGAUCAGAAGAGGAAGGACCCUGUUUGGAAUGACUGUUGUAAGGUCUGUUAGUUAGUCCACCUGUCCUUCCUUCCUUCCUUCUUUCCUUCCUUCCUUCCUUCCUUCCCUCCCUCCCUCCCUCCCUCCCCACCCCCUCUGUUUUGUUUGUUUUUGAGACAGGGGUUUCUCUGUGCAGCUUUGACUGUUCUGGAACUCACUCUGCAGACCAGGCUGGGCUCCAACUCAAGAGAUCCACCUGCCUCUCCUUCUGAGGACUGGCAUUAAAGGUUACAGGAUGAGAGAGGAUUCUGAAGAUUUGGCGCUGGACUGGGCUUGUAAGCAGGCCUGCAGCAGAGGAUAACCACUGACAGUCUGCCCAUCUCAGACACUCAGGCGGGUCACUGCAGAGGGCAGGCCCUGGACCUCCUGCCUGGUGAACCUUAAGGUUUACUUUUGCUGGAAAUGUUUCCCUUUUUAACAAUGCCCAGAGCCUUCCUGUGACACUCUGCUCAGAAGAUGUUGAUGAUGUCUUCUGUGCAGCUGCUUCUGGGAACCGGGAAUGGUUGUUAUAGCAACAGUUUACACAGCAGACAGCCAUCUGCAGGCGAGGGAAUGGGGAGGAGAGGAGAGGGGCUGGGCUCAGGUGUGAAGAGCAUUGGGAGAGGCCUGGGGGGGUUUCUGGUUGUGACCCUAGUAAUACUAGGUCUUGGCUAACUCUUCUCUCUCUGAUAUCAGGUACUGUCCUAGAGGCUUUAUGUAUAUGAGCCCUGUUUGGUAGCACGACAUGCCUGAGCUGGUCUAUUUAUUACUUCAAUAUCAUAGCUGAGAAAACCGGAGACUGCUGUCCAGGGUGACACGCAGCACAUGGCAAAGCCAAAAUGUGAAGUCAGGUGUUCUAGCCUCGUCCAAUACUAGCGCCACGAGCUAGAGAUGGGGAGACAUGUAGACGAGGUUUAAUCACACGCUAUAAAACCCACUUUUUAAAAUAUGUAAUUCCAUGGCUUGCACCAUGUUUGUACAUCAUCGCUCAUGUAAUUUCAAAAUAUGUUAUCGCCACCUCCCAGAUAAGCCCGUACACUAAGCACUCACCUGUCUUUCUCUCCCUCCUCUAACCCUGGCAAACACUAGUCUACCUGCUGACUCUGCAGAUCUACCCAUUCAGGAUCCCUCGUACAAACAGGAUCACACACCUUUGUGGCUUCUGUCACUUCCAAGUUGGUCUAUGUUGUAUGUUUCACCCCCUGUUCCUUUUCAUGGCUGAAUAGUAUUCUACAGUGUGGAUAAUACUUGCUCAUUUAGCCAUCAUUUGAUGAACAUUUGCUUCAUCUCUAUCUUUUUCCCAGUAUAAAUAAUGCUGCCAUGAAAAUUCACAUGGGGGCUGGAGAGAUGGCUCAGCGGUUAAGAGCACUGACUGCUCUUCCAGAGGUCCUGAGUUCAAAUCCCAGCAACCACAUGGUGGCUCACAACCAUCUGUAAUGAGAUCUGAUGCCCUCCUCUGGUGUAUCUGAAGACAGCGACAGUGUACUCAUAUACAUUAAAUAAAUAAAUUUAAGAAAAGAAAAAAGAAAAGAAAA
Rattus norvegicus (Norway rat) is the source of this 14224-nucleotide non-coding RNA. Lineage: Eukaryota; Metazoa; Chordata; Mammalia; Rodentia; Muridae. The record is from RefSeq and is a predicted model, not a curated record.